GUGCUCACUUUGGCAGCGCAUAGACCAAAAUUAGAAUGAUACAUAGAAGAUUAACAUGACCCUGUGCAAGGAUGACACACAAAUUCAUGAAGUUUUCCAUAUUUUU
This is a small nuclear RNA of Nycticebus coucang (slow loris), 106 nucleotides long. The record is from RefSeq and is a predicted model, not a curated record. NCBI's taxonomy places the organism in Eukaryota, Metazoa, Chordata, Mammalia, Primates, Lorisidae.